UACGUAGGGUCCGAGCGUUGUCCGGAGUUACUGGGCGUAAAGGACGCGCAGGUGGCGGUGUUGGCCCGGCGUGAAAGCCCCCGGCUCAACUGGGGAGGGUCACGCGAUACUGAUCGACUCGAAGGCAGGAGAGGGUAGUGGAAUUCCCGGUGUAGUGGUGAAAUGCGUAGAUAUCGGGAGGAACACCAGUGGCGAAGGCGACUACCUGGCCUGUUCUUGACGCUGAGGCGCGAAAGCUAGGGGAGCAAACGGG
Molecule: ribosomal RNA, 253 nt
Filed under: uncultured bacterium
Lineage: Bacteria
Description: partial 16S ribosomal RNA
Rfam family: Bacterial small subunit ribosomal RNA
Source: RNAcentral